Cynoglossus semilaevis (tongue sole) is the source of this 1144-nucleotide long non-coding RNA. RefSeq lists it as uncharacterized. The record is from RefSeq and is a predicted model, not a curated record. Lineage: Eukaryota; Metazoa; Chordata; Actinopteri; Pleuronectiformes; Cynoglossidae. The transcript is spliced from 3 exons.
GGCAAAGGUUGGCAGUUCAUUCCUCCAAACCACAGGGUGAUCAUGUGCUAGCUACAGCAAAGGAAAAAAAGAAAGAAAGAAAGGAAGAAAGAGGGUGACAGCGGUUGAGACGUGAAGAACAAGGACAAGAGGAGACGCUGCGAGAGAAGAAAAGAGGAAGAGGGAACGGGAGAGGUCUGGACUGACUGUCAAACAGACUUCACACUGUCUCACCUCUAAUUUUCCAUUAUCAUCCCCCCUGAAUUAUUCAUGGAACGUCCUCGCUGUAGGGAGAGAGGUGGAGGAAUGGAAAUGAAGGAGGAAGGAAAAGGGGCAAGGAGAUGGAAAGACAAAACUUGAGGUGAUAAAGACGGACGAAACGGAGAAAUGAUGACAAAAAGAAACAGACAGACAGGAGACGGAAUCAAAGCGGAGAGUCUUCGGAGGAGACGUUGACGGCACAGUCAAGAGUUUGGAGGUAAACUUCUCUGCCCAGAGGACAGGUAGAUCAGUUGUCCCCUUGAAUGGACGAAUCAAACAGAUGUCUCCCUGUCAGCUCACACGCUGUUCCAAAUUAGUGACACUUUUAUUAAACAUAUGUCUGUUUAAAGCCAGGAGUGGAGCAUGCUGGGAUAGAAAGUAGAGUUUUUUUGUUUUUUUUUUAAAUCCAGGACUGUGUUGUCCUGCAGAUCCGGUUGAUUCUCUUCACCGACUGUGAGCGAGUGCCACUAAAUCUCUUUCCAGACUGAGUCCAGUCUGAAUAUUCAGUGACUUCAUUUGCAUUAGUGCACAGAUGGGGGAAAACAGAUGCUCGUUACGGCCCGCGUCAAUUUUCAAAAAUUUGCUUUCGUGACAAAACAAAUAAUGCUACACUGGAGACUGAGAGAACUUGAAGUGUGUGUGCGUCAGGUUUCUGCAUCCAGUACAAGAAUAAUACUUAACUUUUAUACAUACGUCGCAACACAAUUAUAUGUUUUCUUAGUGGAGUUGUAUGAAUUUAUUCCCGCAGCUAUGGACAAAGUGUCUUGUUUCGGUGCAGACUGAAAUGCUAUGCAUAAGCUAAGGAAAUGCAGGAAUAUAUUGAUAUUCCCUGACAUUUUGCUUUAAGCUCAGGGUUGUCAAACAUACGGCCCACGGACCAAAACUGGCCCGCUUGGGGUUUCAA